GAUGAACGCUGGCGGCGUGCCUAAUACAUGCAAGUCGAGCGAACAGACGAGGAGCUUGCUCCUCUGACGUUAGCGGCGGACGGGUGAGUAACACGUGUAUAACCUACCUAUAAGACGGGGAUAACUUCGGGAAACCGGAGCUAAUACCGGAUAAUAUAUUGAACCGCAUGGUUCAAUAGUGAAAGACGGUUUUGCUGUCACUUAUAGAUGGAUCCGCGCCGCAUUAGCUAGUUGGUAAGGUAACGGCUUACCAAGGCAACGACGCGUAGCCGACCUGAGAGGGUGAUCGGCCACACUGGAACUGAGACACGGUCCAGACUCCUACGGGAGGCAGCAGUAGGGAAUCUUGCGCAAUGGGCGAAAGCCUGACGGAGCAACGCCGCGUGAGUGAUGAAGGUCUUCGGAUCGUAAAACUCUGUUAGUAGGGAAGAACAAAUGUGUAAGUAAAUAUGCACGUAUUGACGGUACCUAAUCAGAAAGCCACGGCUAACUACGUG
This 497-nucleotide ribosomal RNA is filed under the name uncultured bacterium. RNAcentral describes it as "partial 16S ribosomal RNA". It matches the Rfam family "Bacterial small subunit ribosomal RNA", at positions 28 to 507 of the family's 1533-position model. The record is from RNAcentral.